This 625-nucleotide ribosomal RNA is filed under the name Salinivibrio sp. TA43. Its description in RNAcentral is "bacterial SSU rRNA". It matches the Rfam family "Bacterial small subunit ribosomal RNA", at positions 157 to 775 of the family's 1533-position model. The record is from RNAcentral. Lineage: Bacteria; Pseudomonadati; Pseudomonadota; Gammaproteobacteria; Vibrionales; Vibrionaceae.
CAUCAGGUCAUACCUCAUUACGUGUACGGACCAAAGGUGGCCUCUACAUGUAAGCUAUCGCGUUGGGAUGGGCCCAGUUAGGAUUAGCUAGUUGGUAAGGUAAUGGCUUACCAAGGCGACGAUCCUUAGCUGGUUUGAGAGGAUGAUCAGCCACACUGGGACUGAGACACGGCCCAGACUCCUACGGGAGGCAGCAGUGGGGAAUAUUGCACAAUGGGGGAGACCCUGAUGCAGCCAUGCCGCGUGUGUGAAGAAGGCCUUCGGGUUGUAAAGCACUUUCAGCAGUGAGGAAGGUGGUGUACUUAAUAGGUGCAUGGCUUGACGUUAGCUGCAGAAGAAGCACCGGCUAACUCCGUGCCAGCAGCCGCGGUAAUACGGAGGGUGCGAGCGUUAAUCGGAAUUACUGGGCGUAAAGCGCAUGCAGGCGGUUUGUUAAGUCAGAUGUGAAAGCCCGGGGCUCAACCUCGGAACCGCAUUUGAAACUGGCAGGCUAGAGUCUUGUAGAGGGGGGUAGAAUUUCAGGUGUAGCGGUGAAAUGCGUAGAGAUCUGAAGGAAUACCAGUGGCGAAGGCGGCCCCCUGGACAAAGACUGACGCUCAGAUGCGAAAGCGUGGGUAGCAAACAG